GAGCGGCGAACGGGUGAGUAAUACAUCGGAACGUAUCCCGUAGUGGGGGAUAACCCGGCGAAAGCCGGGCUAAUACCGCAUAUGCUUACGGAGGAAAGUGGGGGACCUGCGAGGGCCUCACGCUAUGGGAGCGGCCGAUGUCCGAUUAGCUAGUUGGUGGGGUAAAGGCCUACCAAGGCGACGAUCGGUAGCUGGUCUGAGAGGAUGAUCAGCCACACUGGGACUGAGACACGGCCCAGACUCCUACGGGAGGCAGCAGUGGGGAAUUUUGGACAAUGGGGGCAACCCUGAUCCAGCCAUGCCGCGUGCGGGAAGAAGGCCUUCGGGUUGUAAACCGCUUUUAGUCGGGAAGAAAGGGUUCUCCUGAAUAGGGAGGAUUCAUGACGGUACCGGCGGAAUAAGCACCGGCUAACUACGUGCCAGCAGCCGCGGUAAUACGUAGGGUGCGAGCGUUAAUCGGAAUUACUGGGCGUAAAGCGUGCGCAGGCGGUUCUCCAAGUCCGUUGUGAAAGCCCCGGGCUCAACCUGGGAAUGGCAGUGGAAACUAGGGGACUGGAAUCUGGCAGAGGGGGGUGGAAUGCCGCGUGUAGCAGUGAAAUGCGUAGAGAUGCGGCGGAACACCGAUGGCGAAGGCAGCCCCCUGGGCUGAGAU
This 652-nucleotide ribosomal RNA is filed under the name uncultured bacterium. RNAcentral describes it as "bacterial SSU rRNA". It matches the Rfam family "Bacterial small subunit ribosomal RNA", at positions 93 to 740 of the family's 1533-position model. The record is from RNAcentral.